AGACCCGAAACCCGGUGAUCUAGCCAUGGGCAGGUUGAAGGUUGGGUAACACUAACUGGAGGACCGAACCGACUAAUGUUGAAAAAUUAGCGGAUGACCUGUGGCUGGGGGUGAAAGGCCAAUCAAACCGGGAGAUAGCUGGUUCUCCCCGAAAGCUAUUUAGGUAGCGCCUCGUGAAUUCAUCUCCGGGGGUAGAGCACUGUUUCGGCUAGGGGGCCAUCCCGGCUUACCAACCCGAUGCAAACUGCGAAUACCGGAGAAUGUUAUCACGGGAGACACACGGCGGGUGCUAACGUCCGUCGUGAAGAGGGAAACAACCCAGACCGCCAGCUAAGGUCCCAAAGUCAUGGUUAAGUGGGAAACGAUGUGGGAAGGCCCAGACAGCCAGGAUGUUGGCUUAGAAGCAGCCAUCAUUUAAAGAAAGCGUAAUAGCUCACUGGUCGAGUCGGCCUGCGCGGAAGAUGUAACGGGGCUAAACCAUGCACCGAAGCUGCGGCAGCGACACUGUGUGUUGUUGGGUAGGGGAGCGUUCUGUAAGCCUGUGAAGGUGUGUCGUGAGGCAUGCUGGAGGUAUCAGAAGUGCGAAUGCUGACAUAAGUAACGAUAAAGCGGGUGAAAAGCCCGCUCGCCGGAAGACCAAGGGUUCCUGUCCAACGUUAAUCGGGGCAGGGUGAGUCGACCCCUAAGGCGAGGCCGAAAGGCGUAGUCGAUGGGAAACGGGUUAAUAUUCCCGUACUUGGUGUUACUGCGAAGGGGGGACGGAGAAGGCUAUGUUGGCCGGGCGACGGUUGUCCCGGUUUAAGCGUGUAGGUGUGUGUUCCAGGUAAAUCCGGUUCACUUUAACACUGAGGCGUGACGACGAGGCACUACGGUGCUGAAGCAACAAAUGCCCUGCUUCCAGGAAAAGCCUCUAAGCAUCAGGUAACAUCAAAUCGUACCCCAAACCGACACAGGUGGUCAGGUAGAGAAUACCAAGGCGCUUGAGAGAACUCGGGUGAAGGAACUAGGCAAAAUGGUGCCGUAACUUCGGGAGAAGGCACGCUGACACGUAGGUGAAG
Molecule: ribosomal RNA, 1058 nt
Filed under: Salmonella enterica
Lineage: Bacteria; Pseudomonadati; Pseudomonadota; Gammaproteobacteria; Enterobacterales; Enterobacteriaceae
Description: partial 23S ribosomal RNA
Rfam family: Bacterial large subunit ribosomal RNA
Source: RNAcentral